GACGAACGCUGGCGGCGUGCCUAAUACAUGCAAGUAGAACGCUGAAGGAGGAGCUUGCUUCUCUGGAUGAGUUGCGAACGGGUGAGUAACGCGUAGGUAACCUGCCUGGUAGCGGGGGAUAACUAUUGGAAACGAUAGCUAAUACCGCAUAAUAGUAGAUGUUGCAUGACAUUUGCUUAAAAGGUGCAAUUGCAUCACUACCAGAUGGACCUGCGUUGUAUUAGCUAGUUGGUGAGGUAACGGCCCACCAAGGCGACGAUACAUAGCCGACCUGAGAGGGUGAUCGGCCACACUGGGACUGAGACACGGCCCAGACUCCUACGGGAGGCAGCAGUAGGGAAUCUUCGGCAAUGGACGGAAGUCUGACCGAGCAACGCCGCGUGAGUGAAGAAGGUUUUCGGAUCGUAAAGCUCUGUUGUAAGAGAAGAACGAGUGUGAGAGUGGAAAGUUCACACUGUGACGGUAUCUUACCAGAAAGGGACGGCUAACUACGUG
Molecule: ribosomal RNA, 495 nt
Filed under: uncultured bacterium
Lineage: Bacteria
Description: partial 16S ribosomal RNA
Rfam family: Bacterial small subunit ribosomal RNA
Source: RNAcentral